RNAcentral lists this unclassified non-coding RNA (389 nucleotides) under Helianthus argophyllus. Its description in RNAcentral is "partial trnH-psbA intergenic spacer". Lineage: Eukaryota; Viridiplantae; Streptophyta; Magnoliopsida; Asterales; Asteraceae. The record is from RNAcentral. RNAcentral also lists the same sequence under 1 other name.
CUCUACUAUUAUCUAGUAUUACUAUAUUUUUCCAUUAACAUAAAAAAGCAUAUUCUUUCUCAUUUUUAUUGAAUAAAUAAAAGUAAUAAAUAAGCAAAAUUUUCAUUUUUAUCUAGAAUUUAAAUUGUAAAAAAAAAAAAAACUUCAUAAAAGAUUAGGAAAAGUAAAAGUAUAUGAUAUAGAAACCUAUAAUAUAAAUGAAUACAAAUAAAAACAAACAAAUCGAACCAAAUUAUAAAAAGUACUUGUUAUUUUUAAAGUUUAAAGAAACUAUGUAAGGCAAAUAGUACUAAAUAAAAAAAGGAGCAAUAACGCCCUCUUGUUUUAUCAAGAGGGAAGCUAUUGCUCCUUUUUUAGUUCAAAAACUCCUAUACAAUCAGACCAAAGUC